CCUACGGGAGGCAGCCGUGGGGAAUAUUGCGCAAUGGGCGAAAGCCUGACGCAGCGACGCCGCGUGAGGGAUGAAGGUCUUCGGAUCGUAAACCUCUGUCAGCAGGGAAGAACGGUCACUGUGCUAAUCAGCAGUGAAUUGACGGUACCUGCAAAGGUAGCACCGGCUAACUCCGUGCCAGCAGCCGCGGUAAUACGGAGGGUGCGAGCGUUAAUCGGAAUUACUGGGCGUAAAGCGCUCGUAGGCGGUAUGGCAAGUCAAGGGUGAAAUCCCCGCGCUUAACGUGGGAACUGCCUUUGAAACUGGCAGACUGGAGUGAGUGAGAGGAUAGUGGAAGUCCAGGUGUAGGAGUGAAAUCCGUAGAUAUCGAGAGGAACAUCAGUGGCGAAGGCGACUAUCUGGAACAUAACUGACGCUGAGGAGCGAAAGCGUGGGUAGCAAACAGGAUUAGAUACCCCAGUAGUC
RNAcentral lists this ribosomal RNA (465 nucleotides) under uncultured bacterium. RNAcentral describes it as "partial 16S ribosomal RNA". It matches the Rfam family "Bacterial small subunit ribosomal RNA", at positions 338 to 795 of the family's 1533-position model. The record is from RNAcentral.